This 1812-nucleotide ribosomal RNA is filed under the name Staphylococcus aureus. RNAcentral describes it as "partial 23S ribosomal RNA". It matches the Rfam family "Bacterial large subunit ribosomal RNA", at positions 328 to 2144 of the family's 2925-position model. The record is from RNAcentral. Lineage: Bacteria; Bacillati; Bacillota; Bacilli; Caryophanales; Staphylococcaceae.
AUUAGACGAAUCAUCUGGAAAGAUGAAUCAAAGAAGGUAAUAAUCCUGUAGUCGAAAAUGUUGUCUCUCUUGAGUGGAUCCUGAGUACGACGGAGCACGUGAAAUUCCGUCGGAAUCUGGGAGGACCAUCUCCUAAGGCUAAAUACUCUCUAGUGACCGAUAGUGAACCAGUACCGUGAGGGAAAGGUGAAAAGCACCCCGGAAGGGGAGUGAAAUAGAACCUGAAACCGUGUGCUUACAAGUAGUCAGAGCCCGUUAAUGGGUGAUGGCGUGCCUUUUGUAGAAUGAACCGGCGAGUUACGAUUUGAUGCAAGGUUAAGCAGUAAAUGUGGAGCCGUAGCGAAAGCGAGUCUGAAUAGGGCGUUUAGUAUUUGGUCGUAGACCCGAAACCAGGUGAUCUACCCUUGGUCAGGUUGAAGUUCAGGUAACACUGAAUGGAGGACCGAACCGACUUACGUUGAAAAGUGAGCGGAUGAACUGAGGGUAGCGGAGAAAUUCCAAUCGAACCUGGAGAUAGCUGGUUCUCUCCGAAAUAGCUUUAGGGCUAGCCUCAAGUGAUGAUUAUUGGAGGUAGAGCACUGUUUGGACGAGGGGCCCCUCUCGGGUUACCGAAUUCAGACAAACUCCGAAUGCCAAUUAAUUUAACUUGGGAGUCAGAACAUGGGUGAUAAGGUCCGUGUUCGAAAGGGAAACAGCCCAGACCACCAGCUAAGGUCCCAAAAUAUAUGUUAAGUGGAAAAGGAUGUGGCGUUGCCCAGACAACUAGGAUGUUGGCUUAGAAGCAGCCAUCAUUUAAAGAGUGCGUAAUAGCUCACUAGUCGAGUGACACUGCGCCGAAAAUGUACCGGGGCUAAACAUAUUACCGAAGCUGUGGAUUGUCCUUUGGACAAUGGUAGGAGAGCGUUCUAAGGGCGUUGAAGCAUGAUCGUAAGGACAUGUGGAGCGCUUAGAAGUGAGAAUGCCGGUGUGAGUAGCGAAAGACGGGUGAGAAUCCCGUCCACCGAUUGACUAAGGUUUCCAGAGGAAGGCUCGUCCGCUCUGGGUUAGUCGGGUCCUAAGCUGAGGCCGACAGGCGUAGGCGAUGGAUAACAGGUUGAUAUUCCUGUACCACCUAUAAUCGUUUUAAUCGAUGGGGGGACGCAGUAGGAUAGGCGAAGCGUGCGAUUGGAUUGCACGUCUAAGCAGUAAGGCUGAGUAUUAGGCAAAUCCGGUACUCGUUAAGGCUGAGCUGUGAUGGGGAGAAGACAUUGUGUCUUCGAGUCGUUGAUUUCACACUGCCGAGAAAAGCCUCUAGAUAGAAAAUAGGUGCCCGUACCGCAAACCGACACAGGUAGUCAAGAUGAGAAUUCUAAGGUGAGCGAGCGAACUCUCGUUAAGGAACUCGGCAAAAUGACCCCGUAACUUCGGGAGAAGGGGUGCUCUUUAGGGUUAACGCCCAGAAGAGCCGCAGUGAAUAGGCCCAAGCGACUGUUUAUCAAAAACACAGGUCUCUGCUAAACCGUAAGGUGAUGUAUAGGGGCUGACGCCUGCCCGGUGCUGGAAGGUUAAGAGGAGUGGUUAGCUUCUGCGAAGCUACGAAUCGAAGCCCCAGUAAACGGCGGCCGUAACUAUAACGGUCCUAAGGUAGCGAAAUUCCUUGUCGGGUAAGUUCCGACCCGCACGAAAGGCGUAACGAUUUGGGCACUGUCUCAACGAGAGACUCGGUGAAAUCAUAGUACCUGUGAAGAUGCAGGUUACCCGCGACAGGACGGAAAGACCCCGUGGAGCUUUACUGUAGCCUGAUAUUGAAAUUCGGCACAGCUUGUACAGGAU